Molecule: ribosomal RNA, 845 nt
Filed under: Tomato phyllody phytoplasma
Lineage: Bacteria; Bacillati; Mycoplasmatota; Mollicutes; Acholeplasmatales; Acholeplasmataceae
Description: bacterial SSU rRNA
Rfam family: Bacterial small subunit ribosomal RNA
Source: RNAcentral
CUGACCGAGCAACGCCGCGUGAAUGACGAAGUACUUCGGUAUGUAAAGUUCUUUUAUCAAGGAAGAAAAGCAAAUGGCGAACCAUUUGUUUGCCGGUACUUGAUGAAUAAGCCCCGGCUAAUUAUGUGCCAGCAGCCGCGGUAAGACAUAAGGGGCAAGUGUUAUCCGGAAUUAUUGGGCGUAAAGGGUGCGUAGGCGGUCUAGUAAGUCAGUGGUGUAAUGGCAACGCUUAACGUUGUCCGGCUAUUGAAACUGCUAAACUUGAGUUAGAUAGAGGCGAGUGGAAUUCCAUGUGUAGCGGUAAAAUGCGUAAAUAUAUGGAGGAACACCAGAGGCGUAGGCGGCUCGCUGGGUCUUAACUGACGCUGAGGCACGAAAGCGUGGGGAGCAAACAGGAUUAGAUACCCUGGUAGUCCACGCCGUAAACGAUGAGUACUAAGUGUCGGGUUAAACCGGUACUGAAGUUAACACAUUAAGUACUCCGCCUGAGUAGUACGUACGCAAGUAUGAAACUUAAAGGAAUUGACGGGACUCCGCACAAGCGGUGGAUCAUGUUGUUUAAUUCGAAGAUACCCGAAAAACCUUACCAGGUCUUGACAUGUUUUUGCAAAAUGAUAGUAAUAUCGUGGAGGUUACCAGAAACACAGGUGGUGCAUGGUUGUCGUCAGCUCGUGUCGUGAGAUGUUAGGUUAAGUCCUAAAACGAGCGAAACCCUUAUCGUUAGUUGCCAGCACGUUAUGGUGGGGACUUUAACGAGACUGCCAAUGAUAAAUUGGAGGAAGGUGAGGAUCACGUCAAAUCAGCAUGCCCCUUAUGACCUGGGCUACAAACGUGAUACAAUGGCU